RNAcentral lists this transfer RNA (72 nucleotides) under Camelus bactrianus (Bactrian camel). It matches the Rfam family "tRNA". From Rfam's summary of the family: Transfer RNA (tRNA) molecules are approximately 80 nucleotides in length. Their secondary structure includes four short double-helical elements and three loops (D, anti-codon, and T loops). The record is from Rfam by way of RNAcentral. Lineage: Eukaryota; Metazoa; Chordata; Mammalia; Artiodactyla; Camelidae. RNAcentral also lists the same sequence under 3 other names.
GGAGGUAUAGCUUGGUGGUAGAGCGCAUGCUUAGCAUGCAUGAGGUCUUGGGUUCAAUUCCCAGUCCGGCCA